Molecule: ribosomal RNA, 229 nt
Filed under: uncultured bacterium
Lineage: Bacteria
Description: partial 16S ribosomal RNA
Rfam family: Bacterial small subunit ribosomal RNA
Source: RNAcentral
UGCGCAGGCGGAACUUUAAGUCAGUGGUGAAAUCUUGCCGCUUAACGGUAAAAUUGCCAUUGAAACUGAAGUUCUUGAAUAUGGUUGAGGUAGGCGGAAUGUGUUGUGUAGCGGUGAAAUGCAUAGAUAUGACACAGAACGCCGAUUGCGAAGGCAGCUUACUAAGCCAUUAUUGACGCUGAGGCACGAAAGCGUGGGGAGCGAACAGGAUUAGAUACCCUGGUAGUCC